This 475-nucleotide ribosomal RNA is filed under the name uncultured Geobacter sp. Its description in RNAcentral is "bacterial SSU rRNA". It matches the Rfam family "Bacterial small subunit ribosomal RNA", at positions 73 to 526 of the family's 1533-position model. Lineage: Bacteria; Pseudomonadati; Thermodesulfobacteriota; Desulfuromonadia; Geobacterales; Geobacteraceae. The record is from RNAcentral.
CCGGAGCUUGCUCCGGUGAAAGUGGCGCACGGGUGAGUAACGCGUGGAUAAUCUGCCCUGGUAUYUGGGAUAACAUCUCGAAAGGGGUGCUAAUACCGGAUAAGCCUACGGACUCUUCGGAGUCUGCAGGAAAAGGUGGCCUCUAUUUAUAAGCUACCGUAUCAGGAUGAGUCCGCGUACCAUUAGCUAGUUGGUGGGGUAAUGGCCUACCAAGGCGACGAUGGUUAGCUGGUCUGAGAGGAUGAUCAGCCACACUGGAACUGAGACACGGUCCAGACUCCUACGGGAGGCAGCAGUGGGGAAUUUUGCGCAAUGGGGGAAACCCUGACGCAGCAACGCCGCGUGAGUGAUGAAGGCUUUCGGGUCGUAAAGCUCUGUCAGAGGGGAAGAAAUGAGUCUGGCUAAUAUCCAGAUUUCUUGACGGUACCCUCAAAGGAAGCACCGGCUAACUCCGUGCCAGCAGCCGCGGUAAUAC